Molecule: small RNA, 611 nt
Filed under: Histoplasma capsulatum var. duboisii H88
Lineage: Eukaryota; Fungi; Ascomycota; Eurotiomycetes; Onygenales; Ajellomycetaceae
Description: Histoplasma capsulatum H88 hypothetical RNA
Source: RNAcentral
UUACCCCUGAAUUAUCUAUCUGCCUGUCAGCCUGCCUCGAUAUCCGAUCGAUUGCUGAUGGAAUCAAGAAUGCUAGAUAUCUGCCUACCUACCUACCUCCCUACCUUCCAACCAACAUGGCUGCUCAAUAUCCAAUCAAUCUCUAUGAGAAUAAACAUCAUCGUCUAGCUACCCGCCUACCUGGCAAUGAUGGCUUACUAGAUGACUAUCUGACUGCCUACCUGCCGAUUGAUCUGCUCACCUGCUUGAAUGAAUGAUAUCUAGCGAUGAUAUCAAUAUGACGUCGUACUUCUGUUCCGUCCUGCCCAGCUGCAUGUUUCAUGAAUCUCCUGCUAUACAAUGUUGUGCCUGAGAUGUCCACCCUUUGAAGCAAUUAAAGAUGCCUUCCAUUCCCCGGGACUUAGAGGUUCGUUUGCCCACCCCCUGAAGGGGGUUGCUAGGGGCAGGCUGCCCCUAGUAUAAGUGAGACGGUGCUUAGAUUUCGAGAAGUGAGAUAACUAUAAUAGUUAUAAAAUCUCUAAUAUAUAAGCGGUUAUAAAAUGUUAUUUCUGAUACUAGUUCAAUCAUAUAAGGUAAGAAGUGGAUAUAAUCUGCAUCAAUUUAAUCAUCAC